RNAcentral lists this transfer RNA (75 nucleotides) under Gammaproteobacteria bacterium. Its description in RNAcentral is "tRNA-Trp". It matches the Rfam family "tRNA". From Rfam's summary of the family: Transfer RNA (tRNA) molecules are approximately 80 nucleotides in length. Their secondary structure includes four short double-helical elements and three loops (D, anti-codon, and T loops). Further hydrogen bonds mediate the characteristic L-shaped molecular structure. tRNAs have two regions of fundamental functional importance: the anti-codon, which is responsible for specific mRNA codon recognition, and the 3' end, to which the tRNAs corresponding amino acid is attached (by aminoacyl-tRNA synthetases). tRNAs cope with the degeneracy of the genetic code in two manners: having more than one tRNA (with a specific anti-codon) for a particular amino acid; and 'wobble' base-pairing, i.e. permitting non-standard base-pairing at the 3rd anti-codon position. RNAcentral also lists the same sequence under 3 other names. Lineage: Bacteria; Pseudomonadati; Pseudomonadota; Gammaproteobacteria. The record is from RNAcentral.
AGGGCAGUAGUUUCAAUGGAAGAACGGUGGUCUCCAAAACCACAAGUGGGGGUUCGACUCCCUCCAGCCCUGCCA